CUUUUUAAAUUAUUUAUUUAUAUAUAUUUAUUUAAUUCAUCUCAGUUUGGUUGGAAUUCUAUUUAAUCAUUGUUGCACUUUAGUAUUUUUGUACAAAAAAAAAAAUUAAAAAUUAAAUGAAAGGAUAGAAAAAGAGAACAUAGGAUACAGGUGCCGAGCAGAGAGCUGGUUUACAGACGAUGGAGGGGGAAGUCAGACAGAAACAGAUAAGGAAGAAGAAAACAAGGAGGUGGUCCCUCAUCAGCAACACACACACAGUCCCUCGCUGGACCAUGAUGCACUGGGAGUCCUUGCGGACAAGGGGGAGGAUAGGUGGGCGGAUCAUUCUCCCAAACCCUACGCUCACUAUCUGAACUGUACAUACUGCGUUGGGGUCAAAACUCGAGACCGCUCAGUUUAUGGUCAGUUCCUCAUUUCUCUCCUUCUGAAGCGAUGGAGGACUGAAUCCAGUAUUGGGGCUGGAGUAGGUCUCCCUUGCUGAUCAUGUGACAAAGGGAGGGAAUGAGAGAGCGAGAAAGAGAUAGAAAAGGGAGGGUACCACUGCAGAUUGGGGGAGCGAGAGGAGAAGGGUUCUUUCUCUCUCCACCUCUAAAUGUCUUAUGAUGAUGAUGGGGAUGAUUUGUCAGCUAUAUUACAGUUCCCCUCCAUUUCAUUUACUGCACUCCCAGCACCGAACCACCCUACAACCCCUUGCCUGCAAAAUCUACCCCUAAAAAGCAGAGAACGAUAACAAUGGCAUCAAUGAUUGAAAUGAUAAAAAGUAACACAAAUAAUCACUCUCCUCUUCAAGUGUCUCGAUAAUAAAACAAUAAGAACAAUAUUUUUUUAUGACAAUGAAGGAGACUUCUCCCUGUACUCUUUUGGCUAAAAAUCUCAAUAUUCCCCCCCCCAAAUAAAAAAAAUAUGACAUCUGAAGACAUCCAAAAAUACAAAAUAAUAACAAUAUAAAAAUGCCUCCCCAACACCUCCCCCCAAAAAUAUGAUACAGAAAUUGCAAUCUAUACAUGGUGUCGCUGUACAGAGGAGGAAGGGGAAGAAUGUCAGUUAAAACUACCCACAAUGCCACACUGUCACAAGAGGGGGCAGGGGAGCGAUGGGGAGUGGAAAAAGAGGGAGGAAGGAUGGAAUGAACAGGGGGGGGAGAAGGGCAUAAAACAUGAGAGAACAAGGGAGUGAGAAAAGGAACAGGCAAUAUGAGAGGGUAAACAGGGAGAAGAAUAAAAGAUAGCAUUGAACUGAAAGUGCAGAAUUACAUAAGUAAUCAAAACUAAAAUGUUGUCCUCCUUGCAACACAGAACAUUUUUUUUUCUUUAAUAAUAAUUGUCAUUAUAAUCAUAAUAACAAUAAAAACUUAUUUUACAGUAAACAGUAAUAACAAUAAUAGUAACAAUAAUGAUCAUAACUUCUAGAUGAACAUUAGCCGUAAAAAUUAAUUUUAAAAACAAUUAAGAAAAAGAAUGACAGAACAGGAAAAUAAAAUGUAAAAAUGAGAGCUGGUUGUGCUGUGCAAUCCUCGAUGUCACUGAGCUCCAUUGUUUCUUUUUUUAGCACCCCUGAGCCUGAACCAAACCCAUCCCCGCAAGCCCAACGUAAUGGGUCAUUCUGAGAGAGAGCCUCAUAGGAUCUGAGAUCACAGUCCACUCCGGAAUGGUCCACCGGAAUACAGCGGUGGGGAGAGGGAGGAGCGGACAGAACCUCACAGGAAUCCCCACGCACAGACUUGGUGUGAAUACUUUGGGUUUGUGGCUGAGUGUUUGCACGUGUAUGUUUAUGUGAUCUAUAUAUUUUGCCUGUAUGACUGCCUGGGACAUUGAGGCGCAUGAGUAUGUUGCUAUGGCAACAGUUGGGGGAGGGGGACCACAAGGGGUAGGAAGGAAGAAGUGAAUGGGGGUGGCAGAGACCAAUCUAUCCAAUCGGAUGGAAGAGCAGAAAUGGAGAGAGCCAAUGAUGGCAAUGCUUGCUAGAUGGCUGUGCAGAACAGAAUGCUGGCAUUGGACCCACUCCCCCUCACCCAGCCAAUCC
Molecule: long non-coding RNA, 2022 nt
Organism: Oncorhynchus tshawytscha (Chinook salmon)
Lineage: Eukaryota; Metazoa; Chordata; Actinopteri; Salmoniformes; Salmonidae
Source: Ensembl